UUAUACCGUGAAACUGCGAAUGGCUCAUUAAAUCAGUUAUCGUUUAUUUGAUAGUACCUUACUACUUGGAUAACCGUGGUAAUUCUAGAGCUAAUACAUGCUGAAAACCCCGACUUCGGAAGGGGUGUAUUUAUUAGAUAAAAAACCAAUGCCCUUUCGGGGCUCCUUGGUGAUUCAUAAUAACUUCUCAGAUCGCAUGGCCUUGCGCCGGCGACGGUUCAUUCAAAUUUCUGCCCUAUCAACUUUCGAUGGUAAGGUAUUGGCUUACCAUGGUUUCAACGGGUAACGGGGAAUUAGGGUUCGAUUCCGGAGAGGGAGCCUGAGAAACGGCUACCACAUCCAAGGAAGGCAGCAGGCGCGCAAAUUACCCAAUCCCGACACGGGGAGGUAGUGACAAUAAAUACUGAUACAGGGCUCUUUUGGGUCUUGUAAUUGGAAUGAGUACAAUUUAAACCUCUUAACGAGGAACAAUUGGAGGGCAAGUCUGGUGCCAGCAGCCGCGGUAAUUCCAGCUCCAAUAGCGUAUAUUAAAGUUGUUGCAGUUAAAAAGCUCGUAGUUGAAACUUUGGCCUGGCUGGCAGGUCCGCCUCACCGCGUGCACUUGUCCGGCCGGGCCUUUUCUUCUGGAGAACCGCAUGCCCUUCACUGGGUGUGUUGGGGACCAGGACUUUUACUUUGAAAAAAUUAGAGUGUUCAAAGCAGGCCUUUGCUCGAAUACGUUAGCAUGGAAUAAUAGAAUAGGACGUGCGGUCCUAUUUUGUUGGUUUCUAGGACCGCCGUAAUGAUUAAUAGGGACAGUCGGGGGCAUCAGUAUUCAAUUGUCAGAGGUGAAAUUCUUGGAUUUAUUGAAGACUAACUACUGCGAAAGCAUUUGCCAAGGAUGUUUUCAUUAAUCAGUGAACGAAAGUUAGGGGAUCGAAGACGAUCAGAUACCGUCGUAGUCUUAACCAUAAACUAUGCCGACUAGGGAUCGGGCGGUGUUAUUAUUUUGACUCGCUCGGCACCUUACGAGAAAUCAAAGUG
RNAcentral lists this ribosomal RNA (1023 nucleotides) under Keissleriella cirsii. RNAcentral describes it as "SSU rRNA". It matches the Rfam family "Eukaryotic small subunit ribosomal RNA", at positions 74 to 1105 of the family's 1831-position model. The record is from RNAcentral. Lineage: Eukaryota; Fungi; Ascomycota; Dothideomycetes; Pleosporales; Lentitheciaceae.